This is a long non-coding RNA of Phyllostomus discolor (pale spear-nosed bat), 242 nucleotides long. RefSeq lists it as uncharacterized. The transcript is spliced from 3 exons. The record is from RefSeq and is a predicted model, not a curated record. NCBI's taxonomy places the organism in Eukaryota, Metazoa, Chordata, Mammalia, Chiroptera, Phyllostomidae.
CUUUCUUUCUGCUGUCUUUAAUCUCCUUAACUGUUUCCUGGUGUUGGGAAGGGUCCUCUGUGGACUUCUGUUGCAUGGCCUGCACAAUACUCAGACUUUUCUGCUCAGGGAUGCCUUUCCCCAUUCCCUCAAGGAGGCAUCUCUUAUAAUGCUCUAAGAGAGAAAGGACAUCCCCUUUAGGGUCCCAGUUGGGCUCAGUUACAGGUAUUGCCCUGGAAAGGCCCAGAGCCCCAUCUGGGUUU